Molecule: small RNA, 139 nt
Filed under: Pseudomonas flexibilis
Lineage: Bacteria; Pseudomonadati; Pseudomonadota; Gammaproteobacteria; Pseudomonadales; Pseudomonadaceae
Description: Pseudomonas rpsL leader
Rfam family: Pseudomonas rpsL leader
Source: RNAcentral
CGCCCGGGCUUAGCCUUGACGGGGCGUUGAGCUCUCUUUAAACUCACGCACCCCUAAAUUUGGCAGGGCGUGUUGCUCUGCCAUUUUGCUUUCUUCGGAAAGCGAUUGUGUCGAAAGACAAAACAGUGGAGCUAGUAGA